This 82-nucleotide small RNA is filed under the name Phytobacter palmae. RNAcentral describes it as "Kosakonia sp. S29 OmrA-B family". It matches the Rfam family "OmrA-B family". Lineage: Bacteria; Pseudomonadati; Pseudomonadota; Gammaproteobacteria; Enterobacterales; Enterobacteriaceae. The record is from RNAcentral.
CCCAGAGGUAUUGAUAGGUGAAGUCAACCUGAGGGUUGAACACUUGAUUACACCAACCUGCGCAGAUGUGCAGGUUUUUUUU